CAGACGAACGCUGGCGGCGUGCUUAACACAUGCAAGUCGAACGAUGAUGCCCAGCUUGCUGGGUGGAUUAGUGGCGAACGGGUGAGUAACACGUGAGUAACCUGCCCCUGACUCUGGGAUAAGCGUUGGAAACGACGUCUAAUACUGGAUAUGAUCACUGGCCGCAUGGUCUGGUGGUGGAAAGAUUUUUUGGUUGGGGAUGGACUCGCGGCCUAUCAGCUUGUUGGUGAGGUAAUGGCUCACCAAGGCGACGACGGGUAGCCGGCCUGAGAGGGUGACCGGCCACACUGGGACUGAGACACGGCCCAGACUCCUACGGGAGGCAGCAGUGGGGAAUAUUGCACAAUGGGCGAAAGCCUGAUGCAGCAACGCCGCGUGAGGGAUGACGGCCUUCGGGUUGUAAACCUCUUUUAGUAGGGAAGAAGCGAAAGUGACGGUACCUGCAGAAAAAGCACCGGCUAACUACGUGCCAGCAGCCGCGGUAAUACGUAGGGUGCAAGCGUUGUCCGGAAUUAUUGGGCGUAAAGAGCUCGUAGGCGGUUUGUCGCGUCUGCUGUGAAAUCCCGAGGCUCAACCUCGGGCUUGCAGUGGGUACGGGCAGACUAGAGUGCGGUAGGGGAGAUUGGAAUUCCUGGUGUAGCGGUGGAAUGCGCAGAUAUCAGGAGGAACACCGAUGGCGAAGGCAGAUCUCUGGGCCGUAACUGACGCUGAGGAGCGAAAGCAUGGGGAGCGAACAGGAUUAGAUACCCUGGUAGUCCAUGCCGUAAACGUUGGGCGCUAGAUGUAGGGACCUUUCCACGGUUUCUGUGUCGUAGCUAACGCAUUAAGCGCCCCGCCUGGGGAGUACGGCCGCAAGGCUAAAACUCAAAGGAAUUGACGGGGGCCCGCACAAGCGGCGGAGCAUGCGGAUUAAUUCGAUGCAACGCGAAGAACCUUACCAAGGCUUGACAUACACCGGAAACGGCCAGAGAUGGUCGCCCCCUUGUGGUCGGUGUACAGGUGGUGCAUGGUUGUCGUCAGCUCGUGUCGUGA
This 1032-nucleotide ribosomal RNA is filed under the name bacterium. RNAcentral's name for it is "bacterial SSU rRNA". It matches the Rfam family "Bacterial small subunit ribosomal RNA", at positions 26 to 1070 of the family's 1533-position model. The record is from RNAcentral.